RNAcentral lists this long non-coding RNA (624 nucleotides) under Phasianus colchicus (ring-necked pheasant). RNAcentral's name for it is "lncRNA (ENSPCLG00000002798.1)". The record is from RNAcentral. Lineage: Eukaryota; Metazoa; Chordata; Aves; Galliformes; Phasianidae.
GGCACGGCAAGGUGCUGAGAGACCGAGACUGCCGACCUUCAACUAUUAACCUUUCCUUUUUUUCUUUUUCUUUUUCUUUUUUUUUUUUCUUUCUCUCUUUACCCUGAAAUCAGCCGGUAUGGCAAGAAUGCUUUGAUCUGAAUAUUACAGGAUGGAAAAUGAACUGGGACUGGGAGGUGAUGAGCCAGGGGAGGAAGUGGUGGGCAGCUUCACCCUGGGUUGCACGAAUACCACUGAUCGCAGCUUUCUUGCAUUACCAGUCCAUGGGUGGAGGAGCACUGGUUAAAGCGAGCUUUCUUUCAAAUCAAUGGGAGCACUUCAAGCAUGCUUCCUAUUUCUGCAAGUGUGCAUCCCUCAGCAGCCUUUGGUAUCUAAUCAGAAGUUAAAUUUGGCAACACUUUGUGUUUUCAGUGGGAACUCUUACAACUCUGUCCAGUUUUGUUGAAAAUGGCCAAAGAGAUCAAAGAUUACAAGCAAGAAGAAAUUCUUCUCAACUGUGUGAAUACACAAAUUUAAUUUCUUCAGAAAAUCAGAACAAAAAUGGACUUUGAUACCUUGAUCCAGCCAUCAAGUACCAAUCAAUCAGAUAAAAGAACAAUAGAAAAAUGACCUCAAGAAAAAUUC